CAGGGUCACCCAAACCCACACAGACCAAUCUCUUUUCUUCGAGUUGAUAUGUGAGUCCCCGAUGGGUUGAGAUCACCUUGCCUGUAUCAGACACAGAGAACACCCACUGGUCUUCUAUGCACACCUACAAUUCCAGACUCUCCUGCUGGAAGCUAAGACCCUGCAGCCGGUUCUAGAUUAUAGACAGAAGUGCUAUCACCUCCUGGAGGAGGUAGCUGAUGCUGGCAACAAUGCUCCUUUAGACCCUUUUCUCCCUGCUAGAGCCAACAAGAUGCCGUGGGACUCAGAUGGCAUAGCUUCAAGAUGGCACAUCAUCUGCUAGCUGGUAUCCUGAAGGACUGCACAGAUCUGAGAUUCCUACUGCUCUGUGUUGGACAUGUAUGUUAUAUGAGCAAGACCCAAAUGGCACCGGUCUGUCUCUGAGAUUUGGAGACUUUUCUGUGCUGUGGUUACUACAUUGCUUAAUGUUAGUCCAACAUCAUUGCUGCAUGCCACCUUUCCAUUUCCUUCUGCCUGAUAUUACUGAGUUCAAACUGGGCACUCAGGGCAGAGCCAGCAAAAGAGGCCUUUUCAUCUAAACAGUGACUGUCAUGAGCUAGUCAGACAUGGGUUGUGUAAAUGAAACAACUGAAGAGGAUGCUCUCCGUAUGUGACCGGUGAAAACAACUCUUGAACUUGACCUCCAGAUAUCCUGGUUCCAUCGACCAGACUGUGCCAGCUGUGAAACCAAGAUGGCGUCUCUAUCCGGUCCAUCACCUUAUAUAGAACUUUCAGCGAAGUGGAAAGCCAUCGCGUGGCUACUAACACUUAAGCGAUGCUUCAGAGGAAGCUGCCUGAAUUCUUACUGCCUUCGAGUGUCUCAUGGAGAUCGCUUCCUCUUGCUGCCAGCCGGGACACAGUGGCAGACUUGCAUAGGAAAAUACCCAGCCUGGCUGCCUGCAGCUAACAAGCCAGCCGCCAUUUAAAUUUCAAUCAGCCCCUCUGUUUGUGUGUGAGUUUCUUG
RNAcentral lists this long non-coding RNA (1003 nucleotides) under Mus spicilegus (steppe mouse). Its description in RNAcentral is "lncRNA (ENSMSIG00000016465.1)". The record is from RNAcentral. Lineage: Eukaryota; Metazoa; Chordata; Mammalia; Rodentia; Muridae.